This 73-nucleotide transfer RNA is filed under the name Caenorhabditis briggsae. RNAcentral's name for it is "tRNA CBG28927". The record is from RNAcentral. Lineage: Eukaryota; Metazoa; Nematoda; Chromadorea; Rhabditida; Rhabditidae.
GAUCUCGUGCUGUAGUGGUUAUUACAUCUAUCUAACACACAGAAGGUCGGCGGUUCGAGCCCGCACGAAAUCA